Molecule: ribosomal RNA, 614 nt
Filed under: uncultured bacterium
Lineage: Bacteria
Description: bacterial SSU rRNA
Rfam family: Bacterial small subunit ribosomal RNA
Source: RNAcentral
CCUACGGGAGGCAGCAGUAAGGAAUAUUGGUCAAUGGAGGCAACUCUGAACCAGCCAUGCCGCGUGCAGGAAGAAGGCCCUAUGGGUCGUAAACUGCUUUUGUACCAGAGAAAACCCGAGUACGUGUACUCGGUUGAUAGUAUGGUAAGAAUAAGCAUCGGCUAACUUCGUGCCAGCAGCCGCGGUAAGACGAAGGAUGCAAGCGUUAUCCGGAUUCAUUGGGUUUAAAGGGUGCGUAGGCGGACUGAUAAGUCAGUGGUGAAAUCUCUCAGCUUAACUGAGAAACUGCCAUUGAUACUGUUAGUCUAGAGUAUAGAUGACGUUGGCGGAAUAUGACAUGUAGUGGUGAAAUACUUAGAUAUGUCAUAGAACACCGAUUGCGAAGGCAGCUAACGAAACUAUAACUGACGCUGAGGCACGAAAGUGCGGGGAUCAAACAGGAUUAGAUACCCUGGUAGUCCGCACCGUAAACGAUGAUUACUCGUUGUUGGCAAUAUGACCGUCAGCGACCAAGCGAAAGCGAUAAGAAUCCACCUGGGGAGUACGCCGGCAACGGUGAAACUCAAAGAGUAGUAGACGUUCGNGAGAGCGACGACGACGACACGAGGGAGGNG